AGGCAAGUCAUCCUUGGCUA
This 20-nucleotide small nuclear RNA is filed under the name Arabidopsis thaliana (thale cress). RNAcentral's name for it is "snRNA_06482". Lineage: Eukaryota; Viridiplantae; Streptophyta; Magnoliopsida; Brassicales; Brassicaceae. The record is from RNAcentral.